This 253-nucleotide ribosomal RNA is filed under the name Coelotinae sp. ZZ029. Its description in RNAcentral is "partial 12S ribosomal RNA". Lineage: Eukaryota; Metazoa; Arthropoda; Arachnida; Araneae; Agelenidae. The record is from RNAcentral.
AUCGACANUNCCCGAUAAAUUUCACUUUAAAUAACCAAGUUUAUAUACCGCCAUCUUAAGAAUUAAAAUGAAAUUUUUCUCUAAAAAAUAAAUAAAAAGUUAGGUCAAGGUGUAAUUAAUAUUAAAGUCAAGAUGAAUUACAUUAAGCGCUACUUAAAGAUUAUAAACGAUAAUUUAUAUAAAUAAGAAUUUAAAAGUAAUAUUAGAACAAUAUUAUAAUAUGAUAAAGAUAAUAAAUGUGCACACAUCGCCC